AACGUAGCUUUCGACGACCUCACCGCCACCGUGCCGCCGUCUCCCUAGCACCGCCGCUCCAUCGUCCGACACGUGCAACCUCCCCGGAGACGAAACUUGGUAAAGAACUAAGUUUUUGGUCAUUGGGCCCUUGAUGUGAUUGACGUAUAUGGUUAACGGCCUUCGUGCCGGGAUUGGGGAUGUGUGGGCCAUCGUGCCCCGACUAUGGACGCCGGCCAUCGAGCCGGCUAGCUAUUUUCUUGCAGGUUUUGAAACAUCCCCGUACAGGGGAGGUUAUGUUGAAUUUUUUUACUUAUGGUGUUUUGUUUGUUCUAUUGCUUAGCAGGACCUGUCCGAGCGGAGUCGGAGCACCUAGGCGUUGCGGCUCUACCUGCACCGCACCGACUCGCCACUGCGUCAACUCACCAUUGCGCCGCUAUCCUUUCAACUCCGACACCUUAGGUAUAAAUAACCCCUCGACCUUUACCGUUGUAUUAUGUAGACCGGUUUAGCCCAGUUAGGCGUCUCUCGUCCGAAAGAGAUAUGGUUGGUGGUAUGUUGAUCAGUGCAUAUCCUACUUGACCGUAUCUGUUUCGGAUUGUCCACAUACUUUGGACAGCCCACGGAUGCGUAGAUGAGUUAGCUUCCAUGCUCAGCUCCGGUCCGAGUCGGAGUUUUGGCAGCACCUCCGCGUUGUUCUCCGGAUACACACUCUCCUUUCUAGGACGUGUAUCGGGAGAACAGCGGGGAGGUGCUGCCGAAACUCUGACUCGGACGGGAGUAGAGCAUGUAAGCUAACCUCAUCUACGCAUCCUCGGGUGGGAUUAGGACCUAUCCUUCACCUAUUACAUUGUAGUGUCGCCUUGUAGAUGCAUUUCGUACUUGUAUUACUGUCUCACGCAUGUGUAUGUCAGAGGAUGGAAAACCGUGAGUGGAUGUACACGGGCUUCGCAUGUAGGACCACAGAGUGGGUUCAAAAGUCCAUGGCGUUCUUGGAGCAUGCAUUUGGCGAGGCCGCUAAAGGGUCGAGAAGGAUGCCUUGUCCGUGCAGCAAGUGCAAGAACAUGUCUAGAUUCGAGAAGAGCGAGAUGUGGAAACAUAUCUUCAAGUACGGGUUUGUUGAGAACUAUACCCGCUGGAUCUACCAUGGUGAAGCCAGUCGAAUUAGAGAGGAGGUGGUGAGAGAACGUCUAGAGGAGUAUGAUUGUGAUGGCGGGGUGCCAGACAUGAUGGAAGACGCGCAUGACGCAUAUUUUGGGGAAGGAAUGGAGGACGAGCCAGAGGAAUCCGCAAAAGCGUUCUAUGAGAUGCUCAAAUCGGCACAAAAGCCCCUGCAUGAUCACACAAGGGUUUCACAGCUGGAUGCCUUGGGACGCUUGAUGGGGAUGAAGUCGCAGUUUAGCAUGAGUCGAGAGCACUUUGAUUUCAUGUUGACAAUUAUUGGCACCCUUCUUCCGGAGGGUCACAUUCUGCCUAAAAACACGUAUGAGUCAAAGAAGCUUCUUCGUGCACUUAAGAUGCCAUAUGAGCAGAUUCAUGCAUGUAAGGAAAGGUGCGUCCUGUUCAGGGGACAUCUUAAGGAAGCAACACACUGUCCGAAAUGCAAUUCCUCUAGGUAUGUUGAGGUAAACAGUAGUGGUGGCAGCUUACAACAGAGCCGUAUCCCCCAUAAGGUCCUACGGUACCUUCCUUUCAUACCGAGGAUCCAACGGCUGUUCAUGAUGGAGGAGUCAGCGAAACAGAUGACAUGGCACAAGAAUGGCAAAAGAUACAAUCCAGACAAAAUGGUCCACCCGUCGGAUGGUGAGGCAUGGAGGCACUUCGAUGGCAAACAUCCCGGUAAAGCCAUGGAGGCACGGAAUGUCCGUGUAGCGCUGGCGACAGAUGGGUUCAACCCAUAUGGAAUGAUGGCGGUCCCGUACACUUGUUGGCCCGUGUUCGUGAUCCCCCUCAAUCUCCCCCCCGGCGUCAUGUUUCAACCGAAGAACAUAUUCUUGUCGCUGAUAAUACCUGGACACCCGGGGAACAAUAUGGGUGUGUUCAUGCAGCCUUUGUGGGAUGAAUUGGUCCAUGCUUGGGAACACGGUGUACUGACAUUCGACCGAGCUACAAAGAGGAACUUCAUAAUGCAUGUGUGGUACCAGUACUCCAUGCAUGACUUCCUGGCGUAUGGCAUAUUCUGCGCUUGGUGUGUUCACGGGAAGUUCCCAUGCCCAAUAUGCAAGGCGGCUGUGAGGUUCACUUGGUUGAAGAGUGGUGGGAAGUAUUCUUCGUUCGACCAACAUCGUCAGUUCCUUCCUCCUAACCAUCCAUUCAGACGAGACAUCAAGCAUUUCAGGAAGGGUGUUCGAGUUCACGACACAGUUCCACACAUGAUGAGCCCUGCCGAGGUCCGUGCUGAGAUAGAGGGUCUGAAAGUUGAUGAAGUCAAUGGCGGUUUUAUUGGAUAUGCAGAUGAACACAUGUGGACUCAUACGUCGGGCUUGACUAAGCUGCCCUAUUUCGAUGACCUUCUUCUUCCACACAACAUCGAUGUAAUGCACACUGAAAAGAAUGUCACUGAGGCACUUUGGGCAACACUCAUGGACAUUCAGGAAAAGUCAAAGGACAACGUAAAGGCCCGAUUGGACCUGGAAACGUUGUGCGAUAGACCAAAUCUACUGAUGAAGCCUCCUGCGGCCGGCAAGAGAUGGAAAAGGACUCCAGCUGAUUACAUCCUGAAACGGGAACAUAGGAAGGAAGUUCUACAGUGGAUGAAAACAUUAUUGUUCCCUGAUGGGUAUGCGGCGAAUCUGAGAAGGGGAGUGAACUUGUCUACCCUGCGAGUCAACGGCAUGAAGAGUCAUGACUUCCACAUAUGGAUUGAGCGGCUCCUACCCGCGAUGACUCGAGGAUACCUACCUGAGCCUGUGUGGCGCGUGUUGGCAGAGUUGAGCUACUUCUUCCGCCAGCUCUGUGCCAAAGAGUUGUCUCGGGACGUCGUUCGUGACCUAGAGAGUGUAGCACCUGUGUUGCUAUGCAAGCUGGAGAUGAUCUUUUCACCUGGGUUCUUCCUGCCGAUGCAGCAUCUGAUUCUGCACCUACCGUACGAGGCAAAGAUGGGGGGCCCGUGCAGGCCCGUUGGUGUUAUACAAUCGAGAGAUGUCUAAAGGUUAUGAGGAAAAAGUGUAGAAACAAAGCCAGAAUUGAGGCUUCCAUCGCAGAGGCAUCCAUUCUUGAGGAGGUGUCGAACUUCACAACCAAUUACUAUACGGAUAAUCUUCCUAGCGUGCACAAUCCGCUCUCCCGUUACAAUGACAACGAGAGUUCGUCGAACCUGAGCCUUUUCAAAGGGCAACUUGGAAGAGCAAGUGCAGGUACCCCCAAGACCUUAUGCUAUCCUGAGUGGCGCAAGAUCAUGCUAUACUUGUUGCUCAACCUUGAUGAAGUGCAUGAGUAUCAACGACAAUUUAUUCAUGAAACCUGGACCAAGGAUUGGGAACCUUCUGCUCAAGAAGAAGACCACCUUCUCAAAAAUAAUUCGCCCGAUUUCAUUUCCUGGUUUAGUACGAAGGUAUCGUCUAACUUACCAUGUUUGAUCUUUUUACAUUCCACUUUGCUUGUAUGAGCAAUUACUGUAACGAUCUAUUCCUGUCAUCACCUCGCAGGCCAUCAAGGAUCCUGAUAUUGAUGAUGAGUUGAAACAGGUUGCUCAUGGCAGCGCCUAUAGGGUCAACUCAUUCACAGUUUACGAUGUCAAUGGGUAUCGCUUUCACACGAGAAGUUAUGAUGAGAGUCGGCCCAAUCGAAGCACCACGAAUACCGGAGUUCGUACGCCCGGCACCGAUGAUCGCGACUAUUAUGGCAUAGUUGAAGAAAUAUUUGAGCUCACAUUUGAGGGUGCAAAACCUCUCAAUGUAGUUAUAUUCAGAUGCCAUUGGUUCGAUCCAGAUGCCGUCAGAAGAGCACCUGAGAUUGGGCAAGUCGAAAUUCGACAUGAUCGCGUGUAUCAUGGAGAUGAUGUCUAUAUUGUGGCUCAACAGGCCACACAAGUUUAUUAUCUCCCAUGGGCAUGCCAACAGAAUAAUAAUCUCAAGGGUUGGUACCUUGUGCACUUGGUAUCGCCACGUGGUAAAGCGCCUGUCCCGAACGAUGACGAUUACAACUUUGAUCCUAACACAUAUGUCGGAGAAUUCUUUCAACCUGAGGGGCUAGAAGGGAGGUUGGAGAUAGAUAUUCGUUCACUAAUGGAUAUGGAAGUAGACAACGAAGUUGAUGAGGACGAGGGCUAUGAGGUGAAUGAUGCUAGGGACUUACGAUUGCUUGAGCGCUUGAAGUCGCCGAGUGACCAUGACGAGGCUGUUAGUAGCGAAGGCGAGGGAGAAUCAUUCGACAACAUUGAUAGCGAUGAGGACUAAAUUGCAUGUAAUAUUUAAUUGUUAUUCAUAAUUAUGUUUAUUUCAUUUUGCAUGUCUUUAUAAGUACUUCUUGUGUAUUUGUACUAAUUGGCUUAGUCUUUGUAAUUGCAGGCACUCGGCACAAUGCCGGGAGGAGGUAGGAGAGCGGGCAGCAGACCCCAGCGACAAGUCGCGUCCAUCUACCAGUCGAGGGACGCCGACGACGGUGCGGAGCCGUCGGUGAGGAGGACGAGGAGCCGCCGCGCACGUACGAGGGAGGAGCCGCCCCCGCGGACACCCCCGGGUGACGAGGACGACGACCACCAGCGGGGGGGCGAGGACGACGAC
This 4703-nucleotide long non-coding RNA is filed under the name Sorghum bicolor (sorghum). RNAcentral describes it as "long non-coding RNA (SBIC_LNC003552)". The record is from RNAcentral. Lineage: Eukaryota; Viridiplantae; Streptophyta; Magnoliopsida; Poales; Poaceae.